Cyanistes caeruleus (blue tit) is the source of this 2046-nucleotide non-coding RNA. The record is from RefSeq and is a predicted model, not a curated record. Lineage: Eukaryota; Metazoa; Chordata; Aves; Passeriformes; Paridae.
UGUGUGCUGAAAUCUUCUCUCUUUCCUAGGAACCUUGCUGCUAUUCAGGACAGAGAAAUCUGCUGCUACUCAAUUUCUUGCAAAGAGAAAGAUAAUAUAGAUAUCACGCUUCAGUGGCUUAUUCAGCAUUCAAAAUCUAGAAGAAGCUGAAGUCUUCCUGGAAUCUCCAGUACCAGUUGGCCAUAAUCUCAAUUGUCCACUUCCCUCCAUAAUGAGAUACUACCCAAAAAUCCUGUAUCAAGAAUCUGCCUUUCACGGUUCAUUUCUCAUGUGCACUGCUGAAGACUUGUAUUCCUAUUCUGUCACGAAACAACUAGAGUUGUCAUGAUAAAGUCAGCACAAAUAUUUAUUUUACAACCAUCUGUGGUGGGAGGGCUGUGGGGGGGCUUUUUAAAAGAAUAUCUCUACCAUGUUAACUACGAUGGUACACUCUGUUCUGGUUUUUCAGGGCCAGGUUUUUAUAUGAUUUUCAGCAAGUGUUUUAUUUCUAGUGUUUAGUGGCUUGAAGAUGCUGAUGCUUGACAGCAUUAAGAUUCUGUAAGAUGCCACAUACAGUAGUUAGAAAACAUUUAAGCGUGAGUUGUGGGAUACUGAUUGGUCUCACAAAUGCAUGUGAUGUGUGUACGUAAGCAGAGAAAUGGAAACUGUUUGCAGAGGGGAGCACAAGGCAUAGAUCAGCAUCACUAAUCUACAGCUGAGAUCCUGUCACUUGAAAAAGAAAACUCUCUUGGUGAAUUAGGAAAGUCAUCUGUUUCAAAUCAUUCUGUUGCUUCUGUUUAACAUUUAUGUGGGGGAUGGGAAUGGACUGUUCUGUCAAACUUUAAAAAAUUGGAGUAUUCCAGCAUGAAAACAAAUCGCUAGGAACAUCAGGCUUCGUUCAAAUACAUUUUUCUAUCUCCAGAUACUCGUGGUCUCUCUCUGAAACCAGAACACGCAUUCUGAGCAGCUGCAUGACACCCAAUUUACUGAUGCUCUUGUAUCGAGGCAGUUGUUGACCUUUAGCACAAUCUGUGUGUAACUGUCAGUGUCUCUCCUGCUCCUGCAAUGGCUGGGCACAGUUUCACCUGGUGCUACGGAAUACCUGGGCUAUUGUGACAACUCUAGACCCGCCUGCUUUCUCCAUGUAACCAUGUGCAAAGCCUGUCAGAUGCAAUGAAAUGUUUUGCUGUGUCAAAGCACAAGAGAGCCAAUGAAUUGAUCCUGUCUCUUGACUAGCUCCUGCAGCUUAGGGAAGCGUGUAUAAACUCAAGAUUAUAAUGUUUCCGUAGCUCUACUUUCUCAGUGACUUCAGCAUAUUUAAAGGGACGGCUUUGUUAAGACUGGUUUGUUCAUCCAGCAGUGUCAGUGUAGCUACUCGUGUGUGCAGAUCCAUGGUGCAGCUGCUUGUGUUGCCUCACACUGUGUGUGAUUCCUCACCUCCAUGUGGUUUGCAUCCCGUGGGAGCCUCGGGCUGGGAGCAGCGUUCAGUGCCCUCGGUUCUGACAAGCCAGUGUUAAUGCAGACUGCCAUGGCCUUACUGUCCUGUCUCAGCUCUGGCACUGCUGCACAGACACUACACGCUGCCUGCCUUCAGUCUGAAGUUACAUUUUAACUUUUUGUCCCCUUUCAGUUCUCUGAAGCAUGAUUGCAAGUAAUCCAUACUCUGGUGCUGUAGAGGAGAGGGUGUAUUAACUUGCUACUGUAGUCCCGAGUUCACCAGAACUGCUACAGUUACUUUUAUUUAGCAAAUUUGCUUGUGCCUAUAAUAAGGAAACUAAACUAGAAUGUGUGAAUCUUUGUGGGGGACCAGGUCACUGUUUAGUUAACUGGCCUAUAGCUAAACUUGAUGUGUUUGGUGUUUAUCUACUUCACUGCUUUCAGCGUUUAUGGCAUCCAAACACUACCAAUUGUUAACCUGUGCAUUACUCUCUGCAUGUGAACAACUUAUACAAUUACUGAACUUUGUAAAUACGUGAAUUUUUUUAUUUAGGUGGAUGCAUAUGUUGGUUUACUGCUCUUCAGCUUUAUUCAAUAAACUUAUGUUUUGAGGGUUGUAUUGACACUUAA